Molecule: ribosomal RNA, 587 nt
Filed under: uncultured bacterium
Lineage: Bacteria
Description: bacterial SSU rRNA
Rfam family: Bacterial small subunit ribosomal RNA
Source: RNAcentral
CCUACGGGAGGCAGCAGUAGGGAAUCUUCGGCAAUGGACGGAAGUCUGACCGAGCAACGCCGCGUGAGUGAAGAAGGUUUUCGGAUCGUAAAGCUCUGUUGUAAGAGAAGAACGAGUGUGAGAGUGGAAAGUUCACACUGUGACGGUAUCUUACCAGAAAGGGACGGCUAACUACGUGCCAGCAGCCGCGGUAAUACGUAGGUCCCGAGCGUUGUCCGGAUUUAUUGGGCGUAAAGCGAGCGCAGGCGGUUAGAUAAGUCUGAAGUUAAAGGCUGUGGCUUAACCAUAGUAUGCUUUGGAAACUGUUUAACUUGAGUGCAGAAGGGGAGAGUGGAAUUCCAUGUGUAGCGGUGAAAUGCGUAGAUAUAUGGAGGAACACCGGUGGCGAAAGCGGCUCUCUGGCUUGUAACUGACGCUGAGGCUCGAAAGCGUGGGGAGCAAACAGGAUUAGAUACCCUGGUAGUCCACGCCGUAAACGAUGAGUGCUAGGUGUUAGACCCUUUCCGGGGUUUAGUGCCGUAGCUAACGCAUUAAGCACUCCGCCUGGGGAGUACGACCGCAAGGUUGAAACUCAAAGGAAUUGACGG